GAUGAAGAACGUAGUGAAAUGCGAUAAGUAAUGCGAAUUGCAGAAUUCAGUGAAUCAUCGAAUCUUUGAACGCACAUUGCGCCCGCUAGUAUUCUGGCGGGCAUGCCUGUCUGAGCGUCAUUUCAACCCUCGCCCCCGGCUUUUGCUGGGAGCGGUGUUGGGGAUCGGCCGCCCGUCACUGGGAGGCCGGCCCCGAAAUAGAGUGGCGACCACGCCGUGUGCUCCUCUGCGUAGUAGUAAAUCACCUCGCAGGCGGACAGCGGUGCGGCCUGCCGUAAAACCCCCAACUCUUUCUGGUUGACCUCAGAUCAGGUAGGAAUACCCGCUGAACUUAAGCAUAUCAAUAAGAGGAGGA
RNAcentral lists this unclassified non-coding RNA (355 nucleotides) under soil metagenome. RNAcentral's name for it is "partial contains 5.8S ribosomal RNA, internal transcribed spacer 2, and large subunit ribosomal RNA". The stretch from base 1 to 120 matches the Rfam family "5.8S ribosomal RNA", at positions 35 to 154 of the family's 154-position model. The record is from RNAcentral.